UAGAGGAAGUAAAAGUCGUAACAAGGUUUCCGUAGGUGAACCUGCGGAAGGAUCAUUAUUGAAUAAGCUUGGUUGGGUUGUCGCUGGCUCUUCGGAGCAUGUGCACGCCUAACACCAAUCUUCUUACCACCUGUGCACUUUUUGUAGAUCUGGAUAUCUCUCGAGGAAACUCGGUAUUGAGGGCUGCUGUGCGUUAAAGCCGGCUUUCCUUACAUUUCCGGUCUAUGUCUUUAUAUACACCAUUUGUAUGUCUACGAAUGUUAUUAUAGGACUUUGUCCAAAUAAACCUUAUACAACUUUCAACAACGGAUCUCUUGGCUCUCGCAUCGAUGAAGAACGCAGCGAAAUGCGAUAAGUAAUGUGAAUUGCAGAAUUCAGUGAAUCAUCGAAUCUUUGAACGCACCUUGCGCUCCUUGGUAUUCCGAGGAGCAUGCCUGUUUGAGUGUCUUGAAAUUCUCAACCUUUUUGGCUUUUUCUUAAAGUUGAUUAGGCUUGGAUGUGGGGGUUUGCGGGCUUUGUCUGAAGUCGGCUCUCCUUAAAUUCAUUAGUAGGGACCUUUGUUGCCUUAGCUUUUGGUGUGAUAAUUAUCUACGCCAUUAUGUGAAGCAGCUUUAAAUUGGAGGUUACUGCUCUCUAACCGUCUCUCAUGGGACAAUUUUCUGACAAUUUGACCUCAAAUCAGGUAGGACUACCCGCUGAACUUAAGCAUAUC
Molecule: ribosomal RNA, 712 nt
Filed under: uncultured Tricholoma
Lineage: Eukaryota; Fungi; Basidiomycota; Agaricomycetes; Agaricales; Tricholomataceae
Description: eukaryotic LSU rRNA
Rfam family: 5.8S ribosomal RNA (bases 295-448)
Source: RNAcentral